UAUGAUAUAUAGCAUGCAUGCAUUUAAAUUUGAAAUUCGAAUUUGAACAUUAAACACUUUACUAUAAUGUGUUCAGAACACAAUACCUUUGUAUGGGUAGUAGAUCACCGUAAUUUGAUCAUCAUCGGAAGAGUCUGAUCAUCGCGAUGCAGCCACACAGUGUGUCUAGCCUCUGUGGAUCGUCCACACGAAGCUCCCGGUC
RNAcentral lists this long non-coding RNA (202 nucleotides) under Elaeis guineensis (African oil palm). RNAcentral's name for it is "long non-coding RNA (EGUI_LNC051920)". The record is from RNAcentral. Lineage: Eukaryota; Viridiplantae; Streptophyta; Magnoliopsida; Arecales; Arecaceae.